AGUUUGAUCCUGGCUCAGGAUGAACGCUAGCUACAGGCUUAACACAUGCAAGUCGAGGGGCAGCAUUGGGGUAGCAAUACUUCAGAUGGCGACCGGCGCACGGGUGAGUAACACGUAUCCAACCUGCCGCUUACUCGGGGAUAGCCUUUCGAAAGAAAGAUUAAUACCCGAUGGUAUAAAGAGUUCGCAUGUUCUCUUUAUUAAAGAAUUUCGGUAAGCGAUGGGGAUGCGUUCCAUUAGAUAGUUGGCGGGGUAACGGCCCACCAAGUCUACGAUGGAUAGGGGUUCUGAGAGGAAGGUCCCCCACAUUGGAACUGAGACACGGUCCAAAUCCUACGGGAGGCAGCAGUGAGGAAUAUUGGUCAAUGGACGAGAGUCUGAACCAGCCAAGUAGCGUGAAGGAUGACUGCCCUAUGGGUUGUAAACUUCUUUUAUAAGGGAAUAAAGUGAGGGACGUGUCCCUUUUUGUAUGUACCUUAUGAAUAAGGAUCGGCUAACUCCGUGCCAGCAGCCGCGGUAAUACGGAGGAUCCAAGCGUUAUCCGGAUUUAUUGGGUUUAAAGGGAGCGUAGGUUGACAUAUAAGUCAGCUGUGAAAGUUUACGGCUCAACCGUGAAAUUGCAGUUGAUACUGUAUGUCUUGAGUGUACAAGAGGUGGGCGGAAUUCGUGGUGUAGCGGUGAAAUGCUUAGAUAUCACGAAGAACUCCAAUUGCGAAGGCAGCUCACUGGGGUACAACUGACGCUGAGGCUCGAAAGUGUGGGUAUCAAACAGGAUUAGAUACCCUGGUAGUCCACACAGUAAACGAUGAAUACUCGCUGUUUGCGAUAUACAGUAAGCGGCCAAGCGAAAGCAUUAAGUAUUCCACCUGGGGAGUACGCCGGCAACGGUGAAACUCAAAGGAAUUGACGGGGGCCCGCACAAGCGGAGGAACAUGUGGUUUAAUUCGAUGAUACGCGAGGAACCUUACCCGGGCUUGAAUUGCAGAGGAACAUAGUUGAAAGAUUAUGGCCGCAAGGUCUCUGUGAAGGUGCUGCAUGGUUGUCGUCAGCUCGUGCCGUGAGGUGUCGGCUUAAGUGCCAUAACGAGCGCAACCCUUAUCAUUAGUUACUAACAGGUGAUGCUGAGGACUCUAGUGAGACUGCCGUCGUAAGAUGUGAGGAAGGUGGA
This 1168-nucleotide ribosomal RNA is filed under the name uncultured Bacteroides sp. RNAcentral describes it as "bacterial SSU rRNA". It matches the Rfam family "Bacterial small subunit ribosomal RNA", at positions 10 to 1177 of the family's 1533-position model. The record is from RNAcentral. Lineage: Bacteria; Pseudomonadati; Bacteroidota; Bacteroidia; Bacteroidales; Bacteroidaceae.